Molecule: transfer RNA, 64 nt
Filed under: Armadillidium album
Lineage: Eukaryota; Metazoa; Arthropoda; Malacostraca; Isopoda; Armadillidiidae
Description: tRNA-Ser
Source: RNAcentral
AAAGAAUAGCUAAUUAAGUAAAUGUUUUGAAAACAUUUGAUAAGAUUAGGUGGUUAAAAAUAAU